RNAcentral lists this ribosomal RNA (507 nucleotides) under Escherichia coli. RNAcentral's name for it is "partial 23S ribosomal RNA". It matches the Rfam family "Bacterial large subunit ribosomal RNA", at positions 1291 to 1783 of the family's 2925-position model. Lineage: Bacteria; Pseudomonadati; Pseudomonadota; Gammaproteobacteria; Enterobacterales; Enterobacteriaceae. The record is from RNAcentral.
CGAAUGCUGACAUAAGUAACGAUAAAGCGGGUGAAAAGCCCGCUCGCCGGAAGACCAAGGGUUCCUGUCCAACGUUAAUCGGGGCAGGGUGAGUCGACCCCUAAGGCGAGGCCGAAAGGCGUAGUCGAUGGGAAACAGGUUAAUAUUCCUGUACUUGGUGUUACUGCGAAGGGGGGACGGAGAAGGCUAUGUUGGCCGGGCGACGGUUGUCCCGGUUUAAGCGUGUAGGCUGGUUUUCCAGGCAAAUCCGGAAAAUCAAGGCUGAGGCGUGAUGACGAGGCACUACGGUGCUGAAGCAACAAAUGCCCUGCUUCCAGGAAAAGCCUCUAAGCAUCAGGUAACAUCAAAUCGUACCCCAAACCGACACAGGUGGUCAGGUAGAGAAUACCAAGGCGCUUGAGAGAACUCGGGUGAAGGAACUAGGCAAAAUGGUGCCGUAACUUCGGGAGAAGGCACGCUGAUAUGUAGGUGAAGUCCCUCGCGGAUGGAGCUGAAAUCAGUCGAAGA